AUUGAACGCUGGCGGCAUGCCUUACACAUGCAAGUCGAACGGCAGCACGGGUGCUUGCCCCUGGUGGCGAGUGGAGAACGGGUGAGUAAUACAUCGGAACAUGUCCUGUAGUGGGGGAUAGCCCGGCGAAAGCCGGAUUAAUACCGCAUACGAUCUACGGAUGAAAGCGGGGGACCUUCGGGCCUCGCGCUAUAGGGUUGGCCGAUGGCUGAUUAGCUAGUUGGUGGGGUAAAGGCCUACCAAGGCGACGAUCAGUAGCUGGUCUGAGAGGACGACCAGCCACACUGGGACUGAGACACGGCCCAGACUCCUACGGGAGGCAGCAGUGGGGAAUUUUGGACAAUGGGCGAAAGCCUGAUCCAGCAAUGCCGCGUGUGUGAAGAAGGCCUUCGGGUUGUAAAGCACUUUUGUCCGGAAAGAAAUCCUUGGCUCUAAUACAGUCGGGGGAUGACGGUACCGGAAGAAUAAGCACCGGCUAACUACGUG
This 486-nucleotide ribosomal RNA is filed under the name uncultured bacterium. RNAcentral describes it as "partial 16S ribosomal RNA". It matches the Rfam family "Bacterial small subunit ribosomal RNA", at positions 30 to 507 of the family's 1533-position model. The record is from RNAcentral.